RNAcentral lists this ribosomal RNA (460 nucleotides) under uncultured bacterium. Its description in RNAcentral is "partial 16S ribosomal RNA". It matches the Rfam family "Bacterial small subunit ribosomal RNA", at positions 338 to 795 of the family's 1533-position model. The record is from RNAcentral.
CCUACGGGAGGCAGCAGUGAGGAAUAUUGGUCAAUGGACGAGAGUCUGAACCAGCCAAGUAGCGUGAAGGAUGACUGCCCUAUGGGUUGUAAACUUCUUUUAUAUGGGAAUAAAACGUUCCACGUGUGGGAUUUUGUAUGUACCAUAUGAAUAAGGAUCGGCUAACUCCGUGCCAGCAGCCGCGGUAAUACGGAGGAUCCGAGCGUUAUCCGGAUUUAUUGGGUUUAAAGGGAGCGUCGGUGGAUUGUUAAGUCAGUUGUGAAAGUUUGCGGCUCAACCGUAAAAUUGCAGUUGAAACUGGCAGUCUUGAGUACAGUAGAGGUGGGCGGAAUUCGUGGUGUAGCGGUGAAAUGCUUAGAUAUCACGAAGAACUCCGAUUGCGAAGGCAGUUCACUGGACUGCAACUGACACUGAGGCUCGAAAGUGUGGGUAUCAAACAGGAUUAGAUACCCGAGUAGUC